GACGAACGCUGGCGGCGUGCUUAACACAUGCAAGUCGAACGGAAAGGCCCUGCUUUUGUGGGGUGCUCGCGUGGCGAACGGGUGUGUAACCCGUGAGUCACCUGCCCUUGACUUUGGGAUAUCUUCAGGAAACUGGGGAUACUACAGGAUAGGUGCUCGUGCUGCAUGGUGGGGGUUGGAAAGUUUCGGCGGUUGGGGAUAGACGGGCGGCUUAUCAGCUUGUUGGUGGGGUAGUGACUUACCAAGGCUUUGACGGGUAGUCGGCCUGAGAGGGUGACCAGGCACAAGAGGACUGAGAUACGGCGCAGACGGGUACAGGAGGCAGCAGGGGGAAGUAUGACACAGUGGGCGGAAGCCUGAGGCAGAGACGCCGCGUGCGGAAUGACGUCCUUCGGGUGGUAAACCGCAUUAGCCUGAGACGAAGCGUGAGUGACGGUAAUGGGUAAAGAAGCACCGGCUAACUACGUG
Molecule: ribosomal RNA, 468 nt
Filed under: uncultured bacterium
Lineage: Bacteria
Description: partial 16S ribosomal RNA
Rfam family: Bacterial small subunit ribosomal RNA
Source: RNAcentral